This is a long non-coding RNA of Penaeus monodon (black tiger shrimp), 620 nucleotides long. RefSeq lists it as uncharacterized. The record is from RefSeq and is a predicted model, not a curated record. The transcript has 3 exons. Lineage: Eukaryota; Metazoa; Arthropoda; Malacostraca; Decapoda; Penaeidae.
CUCAGACAGACAUUCUAACAUAUUUUACUGAAGUGUGGACGUAAGACCUGAAAUGGAUUGGAAGAGAAUUGUCAUUUCCAAAACUCAUCAGCUCUGAUUCCACAGUUUUCACUGAAACGGUGCCUUUAUCUUCACGGAGCUGAGAUGAAGCGGGAUGAAAAUGAGUUGACUUUCAGCCACGCAGUUACGCACGCCACCUCGCGACAUGUAUCUCAAUCUUCACCACGGCGCUCUCAGCACCUCAUAACGACCUCCUGACGCGCCUUAAGGAGGUGACAAAAGACGCUCUGAUUGACUCCUAUCUUGCACAAACCCAAGGCAGGAUUUACGUCUUUCUCUUUUUUUUCUUCAUUUUGGUUCUGCUUUGUUUUGUUUCUUAUUCUUAAUUUUGUUUCUUUCUUUUUGCGUUUUUUUUUUCUUUCUUUCUUUCUUUCUUUUCUUUGUGAUGAUUUGAUGUUGAUUAUCAAUGGUAGUUCUUGCUGUAGUAGUAAUGAUAAAGACAAAUGAGGAUGAGUUAGACAGUAAUUACGGAGCUAAUGAUGAUGAUAAUUACUCUACCCAUGGUCAACGCUAUUCUGUUUGAUUACCGAAGCCAAAUGACCCCAAGAGGUUAAUUAAAA